RNAcentral lists this small nuclear RNA (316 nucleotides) under Peromyscus maniculatus bairdii (prairie deer mouse). RNAcentral describes it as "7SK RNA (ENSPEMG00000002897.2)". It matches the Rfam family "7SK RNA". From Rfam's summary of the family: 7SK was discovered as an abundant small nuclear RNA in the mid-70s but a possible function has only recently been suggested. Two independent studies have found that 7SK RNA binds the CDK9/cyclin T complex (known as elongation factor P-TEFb). P-TEFb activates transcription by phosphorylating the C-terminal domain of RNA polymerase II. The record is from RNAcentral. Lineage: Eukaryota; Metazoa; Chordata; Mammalia; Rodentia; Cricetidae.
GGAUGUGAGGGUGACAUCUGUCACCCAUUGAUCACCAGGGCUGAUUUGGCUGAUCUGGCUAGCUAGGUGGGGAUCCCCUUCAUCCCUCACUGCUCCAUGUACUUUCCUCUGGAAGCUGCAUGCUUGGUCAAGAGGACAGCCUUCCCUAAACAGAGGAAGAUUAGUCUUUGGUCAAGGAUAUAUGGGUAGCUGUGCCCCCCUGCUGGAACCUGCAAAGAAGCUCUCAGAUGUGCAUAGAUUUUUACAGUCACUGUUGUUUGGUCUUUGGGUUGAAAGGGUCCACUGUGUGUGACUUUGUCCAUUACAGUCAUUGCAC